Molecule: ribosomal RNA, 433 nt
Filed under: uncultured bacterium
Lineage: Bacteria
Description: partial 16S ribosomal RNA
Rfam family: Bacterial small subunit ribosomal RNA
Source: RNAcentral
AACGAACGCUGGCGGCAUGCCUAACACAUGCAAGUCGAACGAGACCUUCGGGUCUAGUGGCGCACGGGUGCGUAACGCGUGGGAACCUGCCUUUAGGUUCGGAAUAACUCCCCGAAAGAGGUGCUAAUACCGGAUCAUGUCUUCGGACCAAAGAUUUAUCGCCUUUGGAUGGGCCUGCGUUGGAUUAGCUAGUUGGUAGGGUAAAAGCCUACCAAGGCGACGAUCCAUAGCUGGUCUGUGAGGAAGAGCAGCGACACUGGGACGGAGACACGGCCCAGACUCCUACGGGAGGCAGCAGUGGGGAAUAUUGGACAGUGGGCGAAAGCCUGAUCCAGCAAUGCCGCGUGAGUGAUGAAGGCCUUAGGGUUGUAAAGCUCGUUUACCCGGGAUGAUAAUGACAGUACCGGGAGAAUAAGCUCCGGCUAACUCCGUG